This 148-nucleotide non-coding RNA is filed under the name Pan troglodytes (chimpanzee). The record is from Rfam by way of RNAcentral. Lineage: Eukaryota; Metazoa; Chordata; Mammalia; Primates; Hominidae.
GCCAGGCGUGGUGGCGCAUGCCUGUAGUCCCAGCUACUCGGGAGGCUGAGGCAGGAGAAAUGCUUGAACCCAGGAGGUCAAGGUUGCAGUGAGCCGAGAUUGCGCCACUGCACUCCAGCCUGGGUAACAGAGCGAGAUUCCAUCUCAA